CUUGAUGGCGCCCAGCCACAGCGGACUUCCCUCCGGCCGGCCCUGCCCGUAGGUGGCCAGCAGCGCCUGCGCCUC
RNAcentral lists this antisense RNA (75 nucleotides) under Streptomyces melanosporofaciens. RNAcentral describes it as "ASpks TB sRNA". It matches the Rfam family "ASpks TB sRNA". The record is from RNAcentral. Lineage: Bacteria; Bacillati; Actinomycetota; Actinomycetes; Kitasatosporales; Streptomycetaceae.